AUUAGGUAAUCCAAGAAACGUUGAGAAGUGCAAGCAUACUGUCAUUCACAAACUGGCAGUAGCAAGGGUACUUACAAGAGCAAGCUGAUAUAAUUGAAAAGAAUGGAGGUGCUGUCUCUUUGAAUGGGUUUGAAAUUGUUCUACGACAGCUACAGAAGUUGGCACCUGAACUACAUCGAGUUCACUUUCUGAGCAUUUGAAUAGUCUUUCUCAUGAUGAUUAUAUUGCUGCUUUGGAGAAUCUUCAUUGCUACUUGGAUUACAAGUAUUUGAACUGGGUUGAAUCAGUAUCUGUGGACAUGAAGGAGAAGAAAAUGAGUUUAAUUGGUGAAAACAGCACUUAUUAGAUGAUUUAAAUACAUUAUUAGAUAUUAACAUAGUUUAGGAAACUAGAUGGUAGAUUUGACUAAUUAGUGUUUAUUGCAAUAUUUGUAUUUUAGUAAGUUUAGUAAGACAAGGUUUUGUA
Molecule: long non-coding RNA, 465 nt
Organism: Arachis duranensis
Lineage: Eukaryota; Viridiplantae; Streptophyta; Magnoliopsida; Fabales; Fabaceae
Exons: 4
Source: RefSeq, a predicted model, not a curated record